GUGGAGCGACGAACCGGGGCUUGCCCCGGGGCAGAGCCGCGAACGGGUGAGUAACACGUGGGUUACCUACCCCAAUGACCGGGACAACCCGAGGAAACUCGGGCUAAUACCGGAUGUGGUCUUCGGACGAAAGGAAGCUUCGGCCUCCGCAUUGGGAUGGGCCCGCGGCGCAUUAGCUUGUUGGUGGGGUAACGGCCUACCAAGGCGACGAUGCGUAGCUGGUCUGAGAGGACGAUCAGCCACACUGGGACUGAGACACGGCCCAGACUCCUACGGGAGGCAGCAGUGGGGAAUCUUGCGCAAUGCGCGAAAGCGUGACGCAGCAACGCCGCGUGGGGGAAGAAGGCCUUCGGGUUGUAAACCUCUUUCAGUUGGGACGAAGCUUCGCGGGUUAAUAGCCUGCCGGAGUGACGGUACCUUCAGAAGAAGCCCCGGCUAACUACGUGCCAGCAGCCGCGGUAAUACGUAGGGGGCAAGCGUUGUCCGGAAUCAUUGGGCGUAAAGAGCGUGUAGGCGGCCCGAUAAGUCCGCUGUGAAAGUCCAGGGCUCAACCCUGGAAUGCCGGUGGAUACUGUCGGGCUCGAAUCCGGAAGAGGUGAGUGGAAUUCCUGGUGUAGCGGUGAAAUGCGCAGAUAUCAGGAGGAACACCAAUGGCGAAGGC
Molecule: ribosomal RNA, 661 nt
Filed under: uncultured Actinomycetes bacterium
Lineage: Bacteria; Bacillati; Actinomycetota; Actinomycetes
Description: bacterial SSU rRNA
Rfam family: Bacterial small subunit ribosomal RNA
Source: RNAcentral